UGUAUCGCCUUCAGGGAUGUUGAG
This 24-nucleotide non-coding RNA is filed under the name Arabidopsis thaliana (thale cress). The record is from RNAcentral. Lineage: Eukaryota; Viridiplantae; Streptophyta; Magnoliopsida; Brassicales; Brassicaceae.